AUGCAGUCGAGCGAACUGAUUAGAAGCUUGCUUCUAUGACGUUAGCGGCGGACGGGUGAGUAACACGUGGGCAACCUGCCUGUAAGACUGGGAUAACUUCGGGAAACCGAAGCUAAUACCGGAUAGGAUCUUCUCCUUCAUGGGAGAUGAUUGAAAGAUGGUUUCGGCUAUCACUUACAGAUGGGCCCGCGGUGCAUUAGCUAGUUGGUGAGGUAACGGCUCACCAAGGCAACGAUGCAUAGCCGACCUGAGAGGGUGAUCGGCCACACUGGGACUGAGACACGGCCCAGACUCCUACGGGAGGCAGCAGUAGGGAAUCUUCCGCAAUGGACGAAAGUCUGACGGAGCAACGCCGCGUGAGUGAUGAAGGCUUUCGGGUCGUAAAACUCUGUUGUUAGGGAAGAACAAGUACGAGAGUAACUGCUCGUACCUUGACGGUACCUAACCAGAAAGCCACGGCUAACUACGUGCCAGCAGCCGCG
Molecule: ribosomal RNA, 482 nt
Filed under: Priestia megaterium
Lineage: Bacteria; Bacillati; Bacillota; Bacilli; Caryophanales; Bacillaceae
Description: bacterial SSU rRNA
Rfam family: Bacterial small subunit ribosomal RNA
Source: RNAcentral